RNAcentral lists this ribosomal RNA (560 nucleotides) under uncultured bacterium. RNAcentral describes it as "bacterial SSU rRNA". It matches the Rfam family "Bacterial small subunit ribosomal RNA", at positions 338 to 916 of the family's 1533-position model. The record is from RNAcentral.
CCUACGGGAGGCAGCAGUGGGGAAUAUUGGACAAUGGGCGAAAGCCUGAUCCAGCAAUGCCGCGUGAGUGAUGAAGGCCUUCGGGUCGUAAAGCUCUUUUACCAGGGAUGAUAAUGACAGUACCUGGAGAAUAAGCUCCGGCUAACUCCGUGCCAGCAGCCGCGGUAAUACGGAGGGAGCUAGCGUUGUUCGGAAUUACUGGGCGUAAAGAGUACGUAGGCGGUUAUUCAAGUCAGAGGUGAAAGCCCGGGGCUCAACCCCGGAACUGCCUUUGAAACUAGAUAACUAGAGUCUUGGAGAGGUUAGUGGAAUUCCGAGUGUAGAGGUGAAAUUCGUAGAUAUUCGGAAGAACACCAGUGGCGAAGGCGACUAACUGGACAAGUACUGACGCUGAGGUACGAAAGCGUGGGGAGCAAACAGGAUUAGAUACCCUGGUAGUCCACGCCGUAAACGAUGAUAACUAGUUGUUCGGUCACUUGGUGACUGAGUGACGCAGCUAACGCAUUAAGUUAUCCGCCUGGGGAUACGGUCGCAAGAUUAAAACUUAAAGGAAUUGACGG